RNAcentral lists this ribosomal RNA (53 nucleotides) under uncultured bacterium. RNAcentral's name for it is "partial 16S ribosomal RNA". The record is from RNAcentral.
GCGCUAACCCGCAAGGAGGCAGCGGCCCAAGGUACUGAUUCAUGAUUGGGGUG